RNAcentral lists this ribosomal RNA (468 nucleotides) under uncultured bacterium. Its description in RNAcentral is "partial 16S ribosomal RNA". It matches the Rfam family "Bacterial small subunit ribosomal RNA", at positions 28 to 507 of the family's 1533-position model. The record is from RNAcentral.
GACGAACGCUGGCGGCGUGCUUAACACAUGCAAGUCGAACGGAAAGGCCCUGCUUUUGUGGGGUGCUCGAGUGGCGAACGGGUGAGUAACACGUGAGUAACCUGCCCUUGACUUUGGGAUAACUUCAGGAAACUGGGGCUAAUACCGGGUAGGAGCUCCUGCUGCAUGGGGGGGGUUGGAAAGUUUCGGCGGUUGGGGAUGGACUCGCGGCUUAUCAGCUUGUUGGGGGGGUAGUGGCUUACCAGGGCUUUGACGGGUAGCCGGCCUGAGAGGGUGACCGGCCACAUUGGGACUGAGAUACGGACCAGACUCCUACGGGAGGCAGCAGUGGGGAAUAUUGCACAAUGGGCGGAAGCCUGAUGCAGCAACGCCGCGUGCGGGAUGACGGCCUUCUGGUUGUAAACCGCUUUCGCCUGUGACGAAGCGUGAGUGACGGUAAUGGGUCAAGAAGCACCGGCUAACUACGUG